AUUGAACGCUGGCGGAAUGCUUUACACAUGCAAGUCGAACGGCAGCACGGACUUCGGUCUGGUGGCGAGUGGCGAACGGGUGAGUAAUGUAUCGGAACGUGCCCAGUCGUGGGGGAUAACGCAGUGAAAAUUACGCUAAUACCGCAUACGAUCUAUGGAUGAAAGUGGGGGAUCGCAAGAACUCGCGCGAUUGGAGCGGCCGAUAUCAGAUUAGGUAGUUGGUGGGGUAAAGGCCCACCAAGCCAACGAUGUGUAGCUGGUCUGAGAGGACGACCAGCCACACUGGAACUGAGACACGGUCCAGACUCCUACGGGAGGCAGCAGUGGGGAAUUUUGGACAAUGUGCGAAAGCCUUAUCCAGCCAUUCCGCGUGCAGGAUGAAGGCCCUCGGGUUGUAAACUGCUUUUGUACAGAACGAAAAGGUUUCUACUAAUACUAGGAGCUCAUGACGGUACUGUAAGAAUAAGCACCGGCUAACUACGUGCCAGCCGCCGCAGUAA
Molecule: ribosomal RNA, 500 nt
Filed under: uncultured bacterium
Lineage: Bacteria
Description: partial 16S ribosomal RNA
Rfam family: Bacterial small subunit ribosomal RNA
Source: RNAcentral